This 253-nucleotide ribosomal RNA is filed under the name uncultured bacterium. Its description in RNAcentral is "partial 16S ribosomal RNA". It matches the Rfam family "Bacterial small subunit ribosomal RNA", at positions 524 to 776 of the family's 1533-position model. The record is from RNAcentral.
CACGUAGGGCGCGAGCGUUGUCCGGAAUUAUUGGGCGUAAAGAGCUCGUAGGCGGCCUGUUGCGUCCGCUGUGAAAGCCCGGGGCUUAACCCCGGGUCGGCAGUGGAUACGGGCAGGCUAGAGGUAGGUAGGGGAGAAUGGAAUUCCCGGUGUAGCGGUGAAAUGCGCAGAUAUCGGGAGGAACACCGGUGGCGAAGGCGGUUCUCUGGGCCGUUACUGACGCUGAGGAGCGAAAGCGUGGGGAGCGAACAGG